UAAUGCAGCACAUAUUGUAACAUUUAAAAGGAACCAGCAACUUAGAAAGAGAAAAAUAUCAUAUGACACCAUCGACAAUAAAAUAUUACUUAACAAUUCAAGGGUCUGCCCUUAUCCACUUAAGCUAGAAUGAACAUGCACACGGGCUGAACUUGGUCCAUACAAAAUAAAAAAUCUAUAGCAGCUCAACCUAUGAAAAAGAAACAGGUUUGUGUCUUGGUUCAUACAAAGCUAUGACAGCAAUAAGGUAUAAGUAGUUAAGUGCAGCAUCAGACAGCCUGUACAAACAUGUAGCUGAGUACACUAAAAAUUGGAGGUACUCGCAGGAGGGAUGGACUCAACUUGCUAUGAACCUUGACAAAAAUGUGCCUCAGAGCUACUGACCCCUGUUUCAAGUAACCCACAACUCCAGUAAAUGUGAUACAUAACCUGGUCAACAGCUCCCUGACCAAUGGUCAGCUUAAGCCCUACAAGAAUACCACAGCAAAAAGUGUCGAAAAAUACAAUACCACCCCCCCCCCUCCCCGGGAACACAUAUUGCUAUCCUAAUCAUAUGGCGAACGGCCCACACUGACAUUAGCACUUGUGAACGGCCCACACUGACAGUAGUAUCCUAACUGUGAAGGAGUCUGAUUUCUUAAAAGCAGAUACUACUAAGAGAUUAGAAUGCAACAAGACAAUGUAGCUGUGUCAUCCAUGUUUAUCAACCACAUCAGUAAUAUAAUCCAGUUUCUUAUUAAUUGUGUAAGGGCUAUCUUGCUGUUCAGUUAAAUGAUCCAUGCCACUACAUGCAGUCCCUCUAAUUCAUUGGUGGAAGUAAUUACACAGAACAUGCCCACAAGCUCACUAAACAGCUGACUAAGAAACAAAAUAAAAAUUCAGAGUGGAUUUUAGCUGAAAAAACAACUCAUAAAGCCUGCAAACUUACUUGGGGAAAGCCAGCAAUCAGGGAUAAUGGCACCCAACCUUGGUCAUCCAUGCGUUGCCGCAGGUAUAGGUCCUUACACAGAUUGGCAUCACUGCAAUGGAUCAAGAAAUUGAUCUGAGCAUCUUCACAGUUUUUAUAAAAAAAGGAUUCCCAAAAUGUAGACGAGCUACUACCUGAAAUAAUAUUCUAUCUGCUCCAGAAGACCCUUUCGGAAAGGGUCGAUUAAAACAGCUUGGGGGCUUGCUGGAUGCACAAAAGGCAGGCCUUGAAUGCCUUCCGAGGUGGGUGCCGCAAAAUAGUAAACAUGCGGUGCUAUGUCUGCUAUUUAGAACAAGCAAAUUAAUGUAAUAUAACAAUGGCACAUGCCCAUGAUCUCAUAAACCACAUGCACAAGAACAUACCAGGGAAGCCCAUAGGCGCCCCAUAAGGUGGUGUCUGAGUAGCGGGGCUAACAAAUGGAGGCGGCGGCGGAGGUGCUCCUGCUACAACAGCCAGAGUAGGAGGAGCCCUAAUGUAUGUUGGCUGAUGGCCACGCUGCUGAUGAACUGGUCCAUGCCCAUCUCUGCGUCCACCUCCGCGCCGUUGUCCAUCAAAACCCCCGUGGUGCUCACCCCCACGUCGCCCACCACCUCCACCAUUACCCCUCCUGUUUCCCCCACCAUAGCCACCACCUCGGGCAUGGGGGUGGGAGCCAAAGCGUCCAUUCUGAUGAGGAUCUGCGCCGUUGCUCCGGGCAUUAUUAGGCACAUAAACAGGGGAUGAUUCUGGUGCAGGGGCACUCUUCUCCAGCCCAUCCGCCACAGGCAUCACCAGGGCACGCCGGGCCACAGGAUUGCGCACCGGAGCAUCAUUUCCAGGGUUAGCAUCCGGCGCGCCGGGAUUGCCCAAAGAGGCCGGCGACAUCACCGCCACCUGACACCAUUGCAACAACAGUAAAACCCAAUCUGAUCAAAUGGUACCAAAUUUUCAAGGUCCCUCUAUAUCAAACGCUGGUAUCAACUCACAGUGGAAGCUGGAGAAGCGGCCUUAGGGGACGCCUUGGCCGCUGGCCCCGCAGCCGGCGGCGGCGGAGAGACCAGCCCGGGCAGCGCCGGCCAGGAGUCCGCGUCGAUGAUAGGGUUUUCAACAGCCACCGCGACGGGCACCGUCGCGCCCGCGGGGAGCUUCCAGACGGCGGCCGCCGCCCUAGCCUUCUUCGCCCCGACCGGGCUAUCGGACGGGGGCGUCCCGGCCCCGGCAACGGCCGCAUGCGGGUCGGCGCUGCUAGCCAUCGUCCGCACCCUAGUCCGAUCGGGAGGUAGAGCCUCGAUGGGGUAGCAGGCGAGAGGCGGAGGCGACUGCGGGAACGGCGGCGGCGGAGGCGGGGGUAGAGGGGUGGGGGUGGGGGUGGGAUCGGUCAGUGGUACGGCAUGAGGCGAUCGGUAACAGGGGUUCCAAAUAUUGCCACGAGGCGAGGCGAGGCGAGGCGAGGGCCGGCGAUCGGCGAUCGGAUCGGGGGGAGGAUGGGGGACGGUGCGGCGGCGGGCGGAGCCGGAGCUGGGGCCGAUGCCUCCUGCGACGCUCGCUGCUCUUCCCUUGCCUUGCCUUCCCACGGGGGGCGGUGGAUGGACGCGGACGGGAUCCCUCUCCUGCCUCUAGCCGUGGUGGGCCACAAAAGGGCAAAGCCCGCAGCAACCAGCGUGGGCCCCCCCGCGGCUCCCGUCCGCCCGAUCACAGAUCAGCGGCCGAAACCCGUCCUGGCCCCGCGCCGCUCUAAAGCGGCUCCCGCUGGCGUCCGCUUGGCUACCCUACCCCUCGGGCUGGCUGGCGCGCGGGCCCCGCGCUCGGGGUGCGGCGUUGGAGGUUGUUGACUUGCGUGCGCGGUGGACCGUCCGAUGCGGGGCGGACGGCUGGCUCGCCACGGGAGGUCCGCGUCCGGCGAAAGCGAAAGUUAUUGCGGUGACGCUCGCAAUCCCAGCGGCGGUGGGCGCCUGGGACGAAACGGCAAACCGCCCCGCCCACCGCCCUUUUUGCAAAAGCGCCCUCCACUGUUUCUGGAUUCCAACUUCCACCGCCCUUAGGCCUCGUUUAGUUCCUUCCCGAAAUUUUUUCGGAACAAUGUAGCAGUUUCGUUUGUUUGUGGUAAUUAUUGUUCAAUUAUGGAUUAUCUAGACUCAAAAGACUCAUCUCGUAAAUUUCGACCAAACUGUGUAAUUACUUUUUAUUUUUGUUUAUAUUUAAUACUUAAUGCAUGUGUCUAAAGAUUCGAUGUGACAGGAAAUUUUGAAAAGUUUUUGGAUUUUGGUUGGAAGUAAACAAGGCCUUAUCUGGUUGCCUUUCUAUCACCUCCCAAGGAUAGAGUCGCGGAUCACGGCCUGGUUCACUGUUUUUUUUCGCGGGGCCUUUCUGCACGUCGCAUUUAGUAUCUUGAACCCCAUAUAUUCCACCGAUUCUUUUGAAAAGGAGCGUUUCAGGAUAAAUAAAAACAGAGAGGAUCGACGUGUUACUUUGUCGUGAAUGCGCCAAGAAUCCGUUCAGUUUCUGGCCUCCCCAUUAUUACAGGUGCGGCGUUUUUCCUCGAGAAAAAAACACUAGACGAUCUGCACCGAAUGAGAACCGUGGAUUCAGUCAACAAUUCAACAUUGACAAAUACGGACACGAUCUGAGAAAGAUCCAAUGAGGCACUCACAAUGUAGAUUUUAUCAUAAAGUCUAAAGUUAUUUAUUACCUCGAACAAUGUGGACUUAGAGUCUAAAUAAGACUUGGAGUCUUAUUUUUUCUACCUCUUUCUUCAAUAAAUAUGCUGCCACAUCAGCAAAAUACCAUAAAUAAUAUAUAAUUAAUUGUUUUGGACUCUGUGAUAGAGUCUUGUAUUGUGAGUGCCCUGAGGUUUCCCCAAUGCAUGCUUUUUGCUUGUAGCACCAAAUGUCAUGUAAAAUCGGAUAAAAAAAAUAGAUGCUCUAAACUUAUCAUAUUAGCUUGUAGAAGUUAUAUAUGCUUAGGGAGAGAAAAAAAGGUCCAAGUUUUUUUAAAAAAAGAGAGAGAGAGGAAAUAAAGGUGAGGUAUAAUGAAAUAAAAAGGUUUCUUUGGUUUGCAUUGUGUGAAUAAUAGUCUUAAUAUUUCCUAGCCUAUGUGGAUCACUUUAUUUGUACUAGAACCACUGCAAGUGUUAGACUCCAUCGAUGGUGCCCUGAGUUUGUUGUUCGUCCUCUCCGCUUGUGUACAUAUUGUUUCGCGAGAUUCAUGUCCUGUGCAAUUUGAUUAGAGCGUCUCAUAUCUUAAAAACUGAAUCCUAAAAAUUUAGUUUUAUAAUAACGUUUUCAAUAAAACUAUUGGGCAAAAAGAAAUACACUCCACCAACAAACUCCUUUUUCUUCAUAAAAAAAUUACAUGUCGCCGUCUCCCGUGCGUACAAGACAUCCACCAUAGAUGAAAAUAGUUCACUGCCAUGGCCAGCCAUUCAUGACAAGCUAGUUUAGGCCAUUCUCGGCAACACCCAAAACUUUCAAAAAGGUAGAUUAAUUCAUUGCCUUCUAUCCCUCCAAGUAUUCUCAUAUCUGAGAUAGUGAUCAUAUCUAAUUUCGGUGACCCGUCAGGCCGCAAUAGUGGUCUGAGCCGUGGUCGGCCAUCUUGGCACCAUAACACACGCGCAGAUCCUCCGGCACUGAAAAAUUUUCCAUGAUGCUAAAAAAGAUUAGGAGUACGAUUUUUUUUGUUGGAAGCACGCAUACAUCGGUGGUUAGAACAAGAAGUUGCUAGGGUGGAUUUUUUUCAUUAUGCUAAUGCUAAAAAUACAUGAUUGGGAGUGGUUUACCAAAUUGUUGGAUGGUAUGUUUUUUUAACGCAUAUACCCCCUCCAUUCCAAAAGAAUAAAAAUAUUUAUACAUAAUAAAUAUUGUUAGAAUAAUAGUAACAUAUACUUUUAUAAUAAAUAUAUUAACAGAUAUAAUUAUUAGAAAUAUUUAUAUAAAUAUAAUCAAACCAUUUCCCCGCUAGAUGUACACUUAUUAUUAUAUACACUACUCACGUUUUUUAUAUGGCCGGUCUCCUUUCGUUUAAAAAAUGGUACUGUACAAUAUUUUGAUGGACGAUGAUAUGAGGCUAGGGCCGUGUUUAGCUACGAAAAGUGAAAAGUUUUCGGUACUGUAGCACUUUCGUUUGUUUGUGACAAAUAUUAUCUAAUCAUGGACUAACUAGGAUCAAAAUAUUCAUCUCGUGAUUUACAGCUAAACUGUGUAAUUAGUUUUUGUUUUCGUCUAUAUUUAAUGUUUCAUGCAUAUACCAUAAGAUUCGAUGUGACGGAGAAUCUUGAAAACUUUUUGAUUUUCAGAGUGAACUAAACAAGGCCUAGGAGAUACUUGACAUGUGGGGCUCUUCUCCACCUGAGGCCUUGUUUAGUUUUUUAAAAAAUUAUAAAAUAGAUACUAUAGUACUUUUGUUUGUAUUUGACAAAUAUUGUCUGACUAUAGAUUAACUCAGUUCAAAAGAUUCGUAUUCUAAAUUACAGGUAAAACUGUGAAAUUAGCUAUUUGUCUUAUCUAUAUUAUAAUUCUUCAUAUAUAUAAUACAAGAUUUGAUGUGAUAGAAAUCUAAAAAAUUUCACAAGAUUUUUUAAAACUAAGGCCUUGUUUAGAUUCAAAAUCUUUUUGGAUUUUGACACUGUAGCAAUUUCAUUUUUAUUUGACAAAUAUUAUCCAAUCAUAGAGUAAUUAGGCUUAAAAGAUUCGUCUCGUGAUUUACAGUUAAACUGUGCAAUUAGUUAUCUUUUUUAUCUAUAUUUAAUAUUCCAUGCAUGUACCGUAAGAUUCGAUGUAAUGAUGAAUCUUUUAAAAUUUUGGGUUUUUGGGUGUAUCUAAACAAGGUCCAAACAGGCCUGACGUAGCCAUAGCCAGCUAACACUGUCAGGCUGUCUCGUUCAGAAAGGGAACCAGGCGGCGGGUCGGUCGGUUUCCUGUCUUUUCCGUUGCUCUCGUACAACGUGUUCUUUCGCGUAGCCAGCAGUUUUAUUCGCGACACGUGUUCCCCUCGCAACGAAUACGUGGCACUCUCGACCCAGCCAUUUGUCAGCUGUCACCGCCACAUGGAACACGAGCGUGUAUUUGCCUUGAAUUGAAUGAAUGAUACUUUACAAUAAUCCAUCGAUUAGUUAGCCGUUGAAUUAAGCCACUGCAAAUGAAAAUGAGAAGAGCAGUGAAAUCAAGUCUCCGGUAUUUGGACGAAGAACUUGUGCGCAGUGCAGAUGGAACUAUGGAAGCAGAAGGCAGCGCAGUUUAUAUUCUCUUACUUCGUUUCUCUGAAAUUGGAUAUUAGUUUAAGGAUCGUGAGUCCCAUUAUUUUAGAUUUUAACUGAAAUAUUACCGUUUGUAUCAUCAGUAAGGGUUCUCACGAGAAUUUUUUUUGUGUAAUGGACUCAUGAGAGGCGACUAAAGGAGAUCGAACCACGGCUUACGAGGGUGGUGAUGAACUCACUUUCAGAUCUUUUUCCACAUCUUGUUUUCAGUUUCUUAUCCUACCUUUUUGAACUUAGAAGUCCUGGACUUAGGCCUUAUUUAGUUCCAAAAUUUUUUUGGAUUUCGCUAUUGUAGUAUUUUCGUUUUUAUUUGACAAACAUUGUCCAAUCAUGGAGUAACUAGUCUUAAAAGAUUCGUCUCGUGAUUUACAGAUAAACUAUGUAAUUAGUUUUUGUUUUCGUCUAUAUUUAAUGCUCCAUUCGAUGUGACGGGAAAUCUUGAAAAGUUUUUGGUUUUUUUGGCAACUAAACAAGGCCUUGAGCAUCUCCAACAACUUGGUAUUUCAACAUGCUAUCCUACCAAAUUUGCUAAAAGCAUAAAAAUCCUCUUCCAACAACUCCUUAUCUCAACUUGCUAAAUUUUUCCCAAGUUGCUAUCCAGAGGUUUCUACUGCCGAGAUUUGUCAAGUUGCUAUCCCAAGUUGCUAUUCCGAGCGCAACUUGUUGGAGACACAUAUUCUUUUACCAAGUGAGCGGGUCCCAUCUGUCAUCCUCUAUUUUUACCAAGUGAGAAUAGCAAUUUAUUGGAGACACAUCCUUUUUUCUUUUGCUAAACAAAUUAGCAACUUGCUAUAACUCAAGAUUUGACAAGUGAAUUUUACCAAGUUGUUAGAGAUUGGAAUUGUUUGGAUCCGACUUGUUAUCGUUUAUCAAAAUUAGCCUAUAUAAAAUUAGUUUUACCGUAACUACCUCCAAAAUUAUGUUUGGACCCAGCUAACCCACAUACAAGAUAAACUUAGUUUCCAUAAAUCAAGAAAACUGUGUAUUAGUAAAAAUGGGCCCACGUCGUUUUUAUUAGAAUUGGUUUUCGAUAUCCACGACCUCAUAUAGCCACCGCGUGCGGUUUUUUUUUUUUUUUUUUUUUUUUUUUUUUUUUUUUUUUUGCAAUCCUGCUUUCGCGCCUAAGCAGGUUUGGCCGCCUAUGCAAGAUAUCUGAACUUAAAACUGGUCGAGCAGCGCCAGUUGCGAGUAUCUGAAUCCAAACAUAUUUUUUAAUAAAGCUCAUGCUAACUAGCUAACAAACUUUAAACUGGUUUUCAUAAGAUCUAGUUUAGAACUCAUUCGGCUAAAACAGGUUUAGAAUUUUGAGAUCUAAACAACCACUUAAUAUUAUUAGAAAGUGGUGAAAUAUGAAGUUUUACAUUGCUUUAUUUAAGACUAUCGCCUAGUUCGUGGAGUAGAAUUUAAUUCAGGUCAAAUGGAAGAACAAACUGAAUCAUUGUUAGAGAUGAAAACGUAUGAGAAACAUCCCGCACUGGCCUAAGUGCUUGUAUCCUGUAUUUUUUUUUAUGAAAAAAACGAAAACAUGAAAAAAUCAGAGAAAUUUUAUCAAUUUGGUGAAAUCGACUAAGGUAUUUUCCCAACUAUUUUAACAGUUCCUAUAUUUACACGUGUACUUUCUUGAUGAUAUUCUCACUUCUAGCUUGACUCCAAACCCAUAGGUGGAGGCAACAUCAUAGUAAGCCAACGACACAAGCACCCAAACAAUAAACACGGUUCGGCUGAAAAGUCAUAUCUGAAACGCUGAUUUAUUAUAGGAGAAAAACAUUGUUAAGUAACUGACAGAUUUGACAGAUAAACUUAAACUAAUAGGCCGCGACACUCCUGCCCUAAGUCCUUUUAUCCAUCUUUCUCAUGCCCCACCCAAUCCCAAGCCUAUCACCCCUGUUUCAACAACGACCCCCCAAAUCCCCAAUACCCAUUGUGUUCCUACCACCCGGUCCCACUUCUUGGUCUACCGCUGCCAGCAAGCUCGGCACGCGCCAUGGUGUCGACGAGUGCUUCUCCUUGAUUGGUAUGUUAAAUCUUUUAUGAGUUUAUGACCAUGAUCCGAUCCCUGAAGUCGUGAAGAGAGUCCUAUUAUUUUGUAGUGUCAUGGCGUGAGCUGUACUGAUAUUUGUUCUCUUGCGUUAAUUCAAGUGCUCAUUGUAGCUUGCUCAACACUGGUAUUGUACAUUUUGUAAUACCAUUUAAUUUAUUUUGAAAUGGUUUUACAGGUUUUGGCUGAUGCAAUUGGCGCUGCAUUGAAAAGGAAACAUCAUAACAGAACAAAUAGUUAUGUUGAACCGACACUGUCUUGUUGAUUGGUUGAUUUGUUGCUCUCAUCGUUUCCAUGAACUGGUACGGUACAUGUAUGGUUUGUACCUGAUAGCACCUUGUUUAUAUUUAUAUAAUUCUUGAACCCAUUGUGUCUGAAAGUAUCAAGAUGCCCAAGAGGGGGGGUGAAUUGGGCUUCUCUAAAAAUUUAAGCAACCUAUAAGCUCCAAUUCAACCCCUUGUGCCUAGUGUGACUUAGAGAGCUACCGGAUAAAAGUUUUGCAACCUAGUUCCAAUCCUAUUCUAGCAUGGCAAUUCUAAGAAUGUAAGAGCAUAAAGUAAAUGCUAGAAAGUAAGGGAGUAGUGGAAGAAAAUGCUCGGCGAUGUUUUGCCGAGGUAUCGGAGAGUCGCCACUCUCCACUAGUCCUCGUUGGAGCACCCGCGCAAGGUCUUGCUCCCCCUUGGUCCGCGCAAGGACCAAGUGCUCUCUACGGGCUGAUUCUUCGACACUCCGUCGCGGUGAAUCGCCCAAAACCGCUCACAAGCUUGACACGAGCCACCCACAAGAACUCCGGGUGAUCUUCGUGCCUCCAAUCACCACCGAACCGUCUAGGUGAUGGCGAUCACCAAGAGUAACAAGCAAAGAACUCUCACUUGACCCAAACAAGGCACUAGAGAGUGAUGGAUGCACACUUGACUCUUGGAACUCACUAGAGGAGGAUUCUCUCAAGAAUUCACUCAAAAACUUAUCCUCUCUAGGCUCUUUGCAACUCUCUUGCUCCACAACAAGUUUCUCUGAUGUUCAAAUGGGCAAGAGAGGUCUCAUGGACGAGGUGGAGAAGUAUAAAUACUAUCCACGAAGUUCAAAGGUUGGCCAACCGUUUUCCACUGAAAACGGGGUCACCGGACGCACGUUAUGUUGCACCGGACGCACUGCACCGAGCGUCCGGUGUGACAUAACGGCUACCUGCGCUUUUCUCUGACAGGUCACCGGACGCUAACUCUCAGCGUCCGGUGCACCGUCCGGUGCUCGGGGAAACCUUACAUGCUCCCUGCGCAUGGGACCGGACGCUACCCGGCGCGUCCGGUGCUAGCGUCCGGUGCUCAGGGGAACUUUGCAAGCUCCCUGGGUAAGGGACCGGACGCUGCCCGGUGCGUCCGGUGCCAGCGUCCGGUGCCAACCCUAAGCACCAAACUGUUCCAACGGCUAAGGACCUCACCGGACGCACUCACAGAGCGUCCGGUGCAGCGUCUGGUGCCCCUUUGGGCACCCAAACUUCGUCGAAACGCGAUCGCUCCAACACGAGGUUUGUUCCUCUCGAUCUAAGGACUAUCUCUGAGCUGCCUAGUGCUAGGUUUACCAAGUGUGCACCACACCUAAACCUAAAGCCUUGCCUAAGUCAAGCUACUAGAUCAAAGCCCCUCUUAAUAGUACGGUCAAAGGAAAAACAAGGUCCUAAACUACUCUAAGUGCCCUUCUUCACCAUAUGGCACUUAGACCUAGUCUAGUCUUGACGAUGUCCAUCCAUCCUUUGAAAACCGAAACGAUUUCCACUAUUAAGUAGGCAUGUACGUCCCUGUCCAUCGAGUAUCUAUAUACCAUGACCUUACCUAUGGCUUUGCCUCUACAAAACACACGUUAGUCAUAGUAAUCAAUAAUGUCAUUAAUCACCGAAAUCACUAGGGGCCUAGAUGCUCUUUCAAUCUCCCCCUUUUUGGUGAUUGAUGACAACCUCGAGUAUGAAAAGAGUUGAGGUUUUCAAAGUGACUUGGUUUCAAUAAGCAUAUGACAAUAAGAAUAAAAGGAUUAGUAAUGCUUAUAUCAACCAAGUCCAAUACCCUGCAUCCAAAUAUGUGAGUGGUAUACGACAGGAUAUAAACAUUAGGCUCAUAAGUACAUCGGAGUAGACAUGCGGAAGCAAAAAGUAAUAAGAGCCAAAACACAUGACAAUAAGAUAUCACAAUAACCAAAGUCAUGUCUCACAACCAAAGUAUCUCACACAAGUGCAAUGCAUAAAGGUAAACAUGAUGCAUGAAAAAGUAGCACACAUAACAAGUAUCUCAAAAGAAUAGACUCCUCACAAGAAGACUCCUAAAACCUCUCUAGCUCCCCCUAACUCCUAACUCUCAUACUACGAACUCUCUCCCCCUUUGGCAUCAAGCGCCAAAAACCUAAGAAGUCGGUGGAGGAGGUGGAGCAGUGGAGUCCCUCGGCACGGCCACGAAGCGAGCUGCAUCAUCUGAACUGUCGGCCGUCGAGGUAGAGGAGGUGGAGUGACCCUCUGAAGCUGCAGGUGCUGGAGAAGCGGUCCGGGUCUGCUCUGGCACUGUCACAGGCUGUGCUGGCUGCUCAAGUCCGGCGGACGAAGCUGGCACGGACUCGGUCGCUGUAGCUGUCGUCUCUAGAACGGUAGUAGACGGUGCAAGCUGCUCGGACGACGCUACGGACGACGACAGAAGCUCUAUAGUGGUAACUGGCGUCGUAAAGACUGCAGGAGCCUGCAGAGGAGAAGGCAUAGGGUCACCAGUCAGAGCACUGUAGGUGAAGCUGAGGUGCGGAUCUGUCUGCGAGUCCCACACAAGCUGCGACGCUGAAGCUGACUGAGGGGUGAAGCCUGAGCGGAGAGGGGUAAACUGCGGUACCUGCUCAAAGCCUGAAGAGAUAGCACCCUGAGAGACCUGGUGCUGUGGCGUCGAAAACGGCUGACUCUGAGCUGGUAGCUGGAGCGGCUGGUGAGACGGGCUCUGAGUCUGAGGCACUGGAGUAGGUGGCCUGACAGUCGACGUGCCUGGGAGCUAGAUCUACGGUAGCUGAAUCCCUGAGGCGGCCAUGAGAGCGGCCAUCAUCGCUGUCUGCUGGGCUUGGAAAGCAAGCUGCUGCUCCUGAAAAGUGAGAAGCUGACGCUAGAGCUCAUCCUGCCUGGCCUGCAUGGCUGCAUUGAUGGCAGCCUGAUCCCUGUCUCGCCUCGCCUGCUCCUCAGCUGCACGGCGCUGAUCUGCCCUCAUCCCCUCUAAGAUAGCAAGCAGGGCGGGGUCUGAAGUACUCGAAGAGCCGCCUGCCUCGUGGUCGUGUGCUCUGGGAGGGAGAUCAGUCACUGGCGGCUGAUAGUCGUCAUCUGAGCUGUCUGAGGCGAAGUCGAACUCGCCCUCUGCCUCUGCAUCGGCGAACGCCCCGAUAGCUACGUCCUGCUGCUCCUCUGUCUCUGCAACAGCUGCUGUACUGCGGGUGCCCCUAGGAGAAGGUGGGGGCACCGGUCCACGUGGAGCACGAGGAGGAGGGGCACCGCGAAGGUCGUGGUGCGCUCUCAACAUCUGCCGGGGGUCGUAGUGGGGGAAGACGGUGUCGGACUCUGUCAACUCCCUCUGCAAGUGAGCUGGCAGGGGCAGUGGCCUAGCACGAAGUAUAAGCAGGGUGAUCCAAUGUGCGUAGGGCAACUGACGCCGGCCCCUGAAGCUCUCUGAGAUGAUGUCCUCUAUCUCUGAGACAAUCAGAUCCCACAAAUCAAACUCUGUCUGGGAGAUGAGGUGAGCAACUAACCACUGCUGGAUGCGAGUGAACCCGUCUCUGUAGCCUGUCCUGGGGAGAAGGGUCUUCCUCAACACGAAGUCAAGGAUCCUGGCUGGCCGUGUCAAGUCUCCCACUGUCCUGCUGGAGCCCUCCCCAAAAGGUGCACGGAAACAGGGAGCCACGAAGUCGACUGGUGGUAUCUCACCACCGUGAGGACGACGAGGGGGAUCCACGUUCCCGUAGCACAGCUGGUGAAUCCUGGUGGGAGAGGCUCGCAGUCCAAGUACCUCUCUGGCCCUCUGAGCUGUCACUCUGUAGUCUGUCCCCGCCAGUGCGUAGUGGAUAUAACUGUGAUCUGGAGAAACCCACACUGAUGCGUAGAACUCUCUGACCCACUGCUCACAGUAAGUGCCGGGGAGUGCUAGUAACUCUGGAAGUCCGUGGAGGUAGGUAAAAUACUGACGAAUAUCAGCUCCAACCACGUUCCCCAGUAUCUCCAGGUCGAUCACUCUAUGCUCCCUGAACUGAGCCUGAGAGCGAACCAGUGCCUCGUAGAUGUCCUCCUGGAUGACUGUGUAGAACCUGGCACCGGCUCUAGGAUCCCUGGCAGCUGGAAACCAGGUGGGAAACGGAACGAACCUCAGCUGCUGGAUCUCUCUGGCUGACACAAGAGAAAGAUCCCUGUGGAUCCUGACUGGCCUCGGGCGUGAAGCUGGUGUACCUCUCGCUGGUGUGGCACGAGCUGUGGAAGUGGACUGACCCGGCGUGCCGGUCUGAGGAACGGCCUGGGUGCGAGCACGAGUCGACCUCCUGAGUGGCUGCUCCUGCUCCUGUGCUGGACCCUCUGCCUGGGUCUCUGUCUCAGUGUCUGGAUCCUCCUGAGCUGGAUCCCUGACCACAAGCCUAACCCUCUGUCCUCCAAUCGUCACGGUGCCUGGAGGGGAUCCAUGAAAAGCCUCUGCCUCAAGCACUGCACGCCUCUGACGCGGCGUAAGAUCAUCACCGAUCCUCAGAGAACCAGAGCGACCACCCCUCUCGGCUGCCUUAGCCGCUGCUGCAACUGCCUCUGCGACCUCUGCAUCUCUGUCACUGGCCUUCCGCUUCUUUGUGGCCAGCUUCUUGCCUUUUCCCUUCUCUGCCGCUGACAGGCGCCGGGGAGGAUCACCUCCACCAUCUCCUCCUGGAGAACCUCCUGAGCCAGCUGUCGGACCGCUAACAUUCUUGCAACGAGCCAUAGCAAAACAAACAUCCGACAAACAACUGACUGGCAAUGGAGAACAAUGCACUGCAGAGAAUGGACAUGAUAGGGUCUAAAUAAGAAGAUACAUCGACUAGAGACGAGAUAAACCUAUGGAUCGCAAGAAAAGAUAAGACACGGGCACAAACGGCUUACGAUCGACUGACGAGACGCGUUCCGGAUUAAAAGGUCGCGAUCGGAAACCUCUGGAGACCACGAAUCUUCUCCUAGAGGUGCUGCAACGAGAAGACCAUCGAGAUUGGAAUCAAAUCCUAAAUCGAAAGUCAUGGAAACAAAAGCUCGAGCACCUUGGGAGAUAGAGCAGAGAACUUACCCCAAGCCCUAAUUUCUUCGCAAGGAAGGAAACCAGAGCGAGGAGAGGGAAGGGAAGAAGCCCCUUAGCAGAUCUGGCGCGGGGGAAAGCUCCAAACUCGUAGGAAAACGGCGCAAGGACGAAGGCGGCGGCGCUAGGGCACGGGCGCGGCCAGAGAUUUGGAGGAGGAAGAAGAAAAACCGCCCGCGAAACCCUCUGGGUGCGGGCUUUAUCCGCCCGCCGCGGGGUCACCAGACGCUCUUAAUGUGGCACCGGACGCGUCCGGUGACCACCGGACUCAUGCGCAGAGAGGAUUGCAUUUUGGCUUUGCACCGGACGAUGGGCACCGGACGCUGGCUUUAGCGUCCGGUGCUUCAGGUCACACCAGGUGAGCACCGGACGCAGCACACCGGACGCUGCAGGAACACUGUUCCUACGUCCGGUGCAUGCAAUCUGGUACACUCAUCGCACCGGACGCUCAGAGGCAGCGUCCGGUGCAUCGUCCGGUGCUCCUCUGAGCACUUUUCCAACUAAGCACCACGUUCGUCUUUGACCCAACCAAGUUCCAUCUUCAAAAACACUCAAAUAACCACCAAAUGGAACUGGUAUGAGUGACAUCUCUCAAACCCUCAAAUUUUCACAAAUAUUUAGCCAUAGGCUUAGUAGUUUUUAUGAAGGUAGUUCGAGAAAAAUCACCAAGGAGCAUCGUAUGGCCAUAAAGCUAGGGGUUUGAAACAUAAUGAGCUUGGAAUGCUCCCCCUAUCUAUGGACGAACACAGUGGAUGCUCAACGAAUAACCGAAAAGAAACGAUCAACUAACAAGCAUGCACAUGAUAUGAGUUGUAAUGCAAUACUUGAGAGAAAACUAAUGCUUGUCAGAUUUGAUCCAAGGUUAAGCUUUUUCACACACACAAGGGGGUUAUCUUAACCAUGUUAGACAAGCCCUACAUGCAAGUUAUAUUUUUAGUUUUAAUAUGCAUGAUAUGCAAAGCAAAAGUUAUUUACAAGAUUCAACACGCAACUUUUAUCUUUUAGUGAAGUUGGAUAGGUCAAGCACAUUAAGUUCAUUUCUCAACAUACAAAACCUAGCUUCAUCUAGGGGUUUUGUGAAGAUAUCCGCCAAUUGAUUUUCCGUUCCCACAUUCUCUAGGGAUAUGUCACCUUUAGCAACAUGAUCCCUAAGGAAGUGGUGACGAAUGUCAAUAUGUUUUGUGCGGGUGUGUUGAACCGGGUUGUUUGCAAGUUUUACGGCACUUUCGUUGUCACACAACAAAGGUACUUUGUCUAGUACUACUCCAUAGUCUAGCAAAGUUUGUUUCAUGUAGAGUAUUUGUGCACAACAAGCACCGGCGGCUAUGUAUUCCGCCUCGGCCGUUGACAAGGCAACACUAUUUUGUUUCUUUGACAUCCAAGAGACAAGAGAUCUACCUAGGAAGUGGCACCCUCCGGAUGUGCUUUUUCUAUCAAUCCGGCACCCGGCAUAAUCCGAAUCGGAAUAGCCUACAAGUUGGAAUCUUGCACCUUUGGGAUACCACAAGCCUAGGCAAGGUGUGUAUUUUAGAUACCUAAGAAUUCUCUUGACUGCAAUCAAGUGAGAUUCCAUAGGCAUUGCUUGAUAUCUUGCACACAUACACACACUAAACAUUAUAUCGGGCCUAGAUGCGGUGAGGUAGAGUAGACUUCCUAUCAUGGAGCGAUAGAGAGUCUUGUCAAUAGGGUUACCUCCCUCAUCCAAGUCGAGAUGCCCAUUUGAUGCCAUGGGAGUCUUGAUUGGCUUGCAAUCCAUCAUCUUGAACCUCUUGAGAAGAUCUUGAGUGUACUUCUCUUGAGAGAUGAAGACCCCUUCCUUCAUUUGUUUGACUUGAAAUCCUAGGAAGAAGGAUAGCUCGCCAAUCAUGGACAUCUCAAACUCCUUGGACAUCAAAUCACCAAAUUCCUUGCAAAAGUCUUCAUUAGUAGAGCCAAAAAUAAUAUCAUCAACAUAAACUUGGCAAAUGAAGAUUUCCCCAUUCAUUUUCUUGGUGAAGAGUGUUGUGUCAGCUUUCCCAAUCUUGAAGCCCUUCUCAAUGAGGAAGUCCCUAAGCCUCUCAUACCAAGCUCUAGGAGCUUGCUUGAGACCAUAGAGUGCCUUGGACAACCGGUAGACAUGCUUGGGGUACCUAGGGUCUUCAAAACCGGGGGGUUGCUCAACAUAGACAAGCUCAUUAAUAUAACCAUUUAAAAAGGCACUUUUCACAUCCAUUUGAAAUAAUUUGAUAUCAUGACUUGAUGCACAUGCAAGUAGGAUACGGAUUGCUUCAAGUCUUGCCACCGGUGCAAAAGUUUCACCGAAGUCAAGACCUUCCACUUGUGAAAAGCCUUUUGCCACAAGUCUUGCCUUGUUGCGCACCACUUUGCCUUGAUCAUCCUUCUUGUUCCGGAAGACCCACUUUGUUCCAAUCACUCUUGCAUCUUUGGGCCGCUCUUCAAGUGUCCAUACUUGGUUGCGAGAGAAGUUGUUCAACUCCUCUUGCAUGGCCAUGAUCCAAUCCGCAUCACGAAGAGCUUCCUCUAUGGUCUUUGGUUCAUCUUCAAGAGACACAAAAGCGUGAUGUUCAAUAAAUAAAGCAUGUCUAGAACGAGUAGUUACACCACGUGAUGGACUCCCGAUGAUGAGAUCUUGAGAGUGAUCUUGGAGGAGAUGUGAUGUUCUUCUUGGUGCCACUUGAGGGGUUGGUUGGAGAGCAUCAACAUCUUGUGCUUGUGCCACCGCUUGCUCAUGAGUGACUUGGGUGUCUUCAUGAGCAUCUCUCACAUCCUUGUCUUCAUCUUGUGGACCUUGUGAGGUGGAUGGUGGCUCAAUGACUUGCACAUCAUCAUCAUCUUCUUUAGGCUUGAUGUCUCCCACCGGCAUGUUCUUCAUGGCAUCCCUCAAUGGUUCACCACCUACAUCAUCAAGAUUAUCACUUGCUCCUUGGGAGCCAUUAGUUUCAUCAAAUUCAACAUCAAAUGUUUCUUCAACCAUGUUUGUGGCAUGGUUAAAGACCCUAUAUGCUUUGGACUUUGAUGAAUAGCCAACCAAGUAGCCAAUGUCACAUCUUCUUUGGAACUUUCCCAAGUGUUGGCGCUUCUUGUAGAUGUAGCACUUGCACCCAAACACUCUAAAGAAUGAGACAUCGGGCUUCUUCCCAUUGAGCAACUCAUAUGGUGUCUUCUCUAGGAACUUAUGUGGAAAGAGCCGGUUUGAAGCAUAGCAUGCCGUGUUGAUUGCCUCGGCCCACAUCUUCUCCGAAGUGUUAUACUCAUCUAGCAUUGUUCUUGCCAAGGUGAUCAAUGUCCGGUUCUUUCUUUCUACAACCCCAUUUUGUUGUGGUGUGUAUGUUGAGGAAAACUCAUGCUUGAUUCCCACUUCAUCACAAUAUUCUUCAAUGUUGGUGUUGUCAAACUCUUUGCCAUUGUCACUUCUAAUUUUCUUGAUCUUCACAUCAAAUUGAUUUUGGGCAUUCUUUGCAAAUUUCUUGAAUAUCGAUGCAACUCGGCCUUGUCUUGCAAGAAGAAUGUCCAAGUGUACCGGGAGAAAUCAUCAACUAUGACCAAACAAUAUUUGUUGCCUCCAAGACUAGCAUAUGUGGUUGGUCCAAACAAAUCCAUGUGAAGUAGUUCAAGAACUCUUGAAGUAGAGAGAUAGGCUUUGGUUGGAUGAGUGUUUGCAACUUGUUUGCCCGCUUGACAUGCACUACAAAGCUUGUCCUUUUCAAAUGUCACAUCCUUCAAGCCUCUAAUCAAUUCUUUCUUCAUCAACUUCUUGAGUGUGCCCAUUCCAACAUGUGCUAACCUUCUAUGCCACAACCACCCAAGUGAAGUCUUGGUGAAUAAGCAAGUCUUGACAUUAACUUCAUUGGAUGAGAAGUCAACCACAUAUAAGUUGUUGUGCCGGAAGUCUUUGAAUAUCACUUCAUUGUCAUCUUCCUUGGUCACAAUUACUUCCUUCUUCUUGAAUAGGCAUUCAAAUCCAAGGUCACAUAAUUGUCCAACCGAGAGCAAAUUGAAACUCAAAGAUUGCACAUAGAGCACAUUGGUGAUGGAGUUGUCAUUUGAUAUAGCAACCUUUCCUAGUCCCUUGACUUUCCCUUUUGAAUUGUCACCAAAUGUGAUCUUCUCUUGGUUGUCAACAUCUUCAUCAAGAGAGGUGAACAUCCGGGGAUCUCCGGUCAUAUGUUGAGUGCAACCACUAUCAAUUACCCAAUGUGAUCCACCGGUCUUGUAGUUCACCUACACACAAGAGAUCAAGCUUGAGAUUUAGGGACCCACAUUUGCUUAGGGCCCUUGACCUUCUCUACUAGUUGCUUUGGCACCCAAAAUCUUCUUUGGCCUUUGCUUGUUUGGUGGCCCCAUGAAGCUAACCUUGACCUUGCCACACUUGUGUUUUCUUACAAUGUAAUGAGCAUUGAAGGCAAAUGGUCUUGCAUGCUUGGGCAAGGGUGGUGGUAGUGGUGCCUUACACUCAUGAGCAAAGUGUCCUUCUUGACCACACUCAAAACAUCUUUUUGGCUUUGGCUUGCUUGCUUGAUCAUGAGUGACUAGAGACUUGAUGAGCUUUGUUUGAUGAGCCUUAUAGCCAAUCCCACUCUUGUCCAUCUUCAUGACGGUGUUCAUGAAAAGCUCACUUUGAAGGUCCUUCCCUUUUGUGAACUUUGCUAACCCCAUGGUUAGGUGUUCCUUCUCUUUCUUGAGCUUGUUGUUCUCUUGAGUUAGCUUCUUGAUGAUUGGGUCAUUGUUGCUAGCUAACUCAUCCAAGAUGAAUGUCUCAUCUUCUUCUUGCUUGUCAUACAUCAAACCAAGCUUGAGAUAUUGAUUUUCUUCUUUGAGUAACUUGUUCUCAUAUGCAAGUUUCUUGUCUUGAUCAAGUGACUCAAUCACAAUGGUGUUGUGCUUGGAUUGGUCUAGCAACUCUUUCUUGAGCAUGACAAUUUCAUCCUUGAGCUUGAUAGUGUCCUCAUAACUCUCGGCCACUACCACUUUCUUGCCCUUGCAAUCAACACAUUUGCUUGUGCUCUCCACAAGUAAGUCAUCACAAGAUGUGGCUACAUCAAGCUUAGCAACAUUGUUAGUAGCAACAUGUGUUUCAUCAAUUGCAAGUUCAUAAGCAAUCUCAAGGUUGUCAUAGUUUGCUUUUAGAGUUGUUAGUUCUUCUUUCAUUGCUCUAUAUCUAGUGAUAAGCUCAUCAUGAACACUCUCAAGUUUAUCAUGUUUUUCUUUGAGCUCUUUUAGAGAGAGUUUGAGCUCCUUGAGCUUAGUGGUCAUGAUCUCAUUUUGUUCUCUAAGCUCAUCACUAGAGUUAAGCUUUGCUAGAAGUGUAUCAUUUUCAAGUUCAAGCUUUUCAUUUUCACUUCUAGUCUUUCUUAUGACUUUUGUGUAUUUGUUUAGCAAUUUUCCAAGUUCAUCAUAAGAAGGUGAUUCAUAUUCACUAUCACUUCCACUACUCUCAUCCUCACUUUGUACCUUCCGGUCACCUUUGGCCAUAAGGCAUAGGUGUGUAGAGGAUGUAGAUGGUGGUGAAGAUGAUGGUGAUGGAGCAUCGAUGGCGAUAGCGGCAACCUUCUCAUCAUCACUUUCAUUGCCGGAGGAGUCACCACUUGAGCUUUCAAUGUCGGUGAGCCAAUCACCAACAAUAUAAGCCUUGCCAUUUUUCUUCUUGUAGUGCUCCUUCUUCUUGCCACCUUUCUUCUUGUAUUGCUUCUUGUCAUUUUUCUCAUCAUCACUUGAGUCAUCUUGCUCUUUGUUCUUCUUCUUGUACCUGUCCUUCUUGGGCUUUGGACAUUGAUGAGCAAGAUGACCAAGCUCACCACAAUUGUAGCAAUCCAUCUCGGAGAUGGGCUUCCUCUUGCUACUUGUGAAGAACUUCUUCUUCUUGGAGUCAAAGUUGACUCCAUUCUUGUUGAGCUUCUUCAACAUCUUGGUGGUUCUUCUCACCAAGAGGGCAAUAGAUGCAUCAUCAUCGCUUGAAGUUGAUGACUCAACUUCAAUCUUCUUGGCCUUGCCCUUGUGAGAAGCUUUGAGAGCCAAGUCCUUCUUUUCUUUCUUGGCCGAUGAGGAGCCAUCUUGAGGGUUCAUGUGCAUGUACAUCUCAUGAGCAUUGAUCUUCCCCAAUAUGGUGGUUGGUGUAGCGGUGGAAAGAUCGCCUUGAUGAAGCACGGUUACUAUGUGCCCAUAUUUCUCAAUGGGAAGCACACAUAGUAUCUUCCUUGCAACAUCCGCCGUACUCAUUUGUGUAAGCCCAAGUCCAUUUAGCUCCUCUACAAUGACAUUCAAGCGAGAAUACAUUUCAUUAGCAUUUUCUUUAGGAAGCAUUUCAAAUGUAUUAAGCUUGUUCAUCACUAGGUGAUAGCGUUCCUCGCGUUCACUCUUAGUUCCCUCAUGAAGCGCACAAAGUUCCUUCCAAAGUUCAUUGGCGGUUUUGUGGCUCCGAACACGGUUGAACACUUCUUUGCAAAGACCUCUAAAAAUGUGGUUUUUGGCCUUUGCAUUCCACUUCUCGUUUUCUUGCUCUUGUGGAGUAAGAGCGGUGGCUCUUUCCGGAGGGGCAAACCCUUUGGUCGCGGCUUUUAGGCACUUUACAUCGCAUGCCUCAAGGUAUGACUCCAUCCGUAUUUUCCAAUACGGGAAGUCAUCCCCAUCGAACAUGGGUGGCGGUCCAUCCCCGUUAGACAUCUUUCUCUAGGCGGUGAAGCCUAAAUAAUGAGCACUAGGCUCUGAUACCAAUUGAAAGGAUCAAGAUGCCCAAGAGGGGGGGGGGUGAAUUGGGAUUCUCUAAAAAUUUAAGCAACAUAUAAGCUCCAAUUCAACCCCUUGUGCCUAGUGUGACUUAGAGAGCUACCGGAUAAAAGUUUUGCAACCUAGUUCCAAUCCUAUUCUAGCAUGGCAAUUCUAAGAAUGUAAGAGCACAAAGUAAAUGCUAGAAAGUAAGGGAGUAGUGGAAGAAAAUGCUCGGCGAUGUUUUGCCGAGGUAUCGGAGAGUCGCCACUCUCCACUAGUCCUCGUUGGAGCACCCGCGCAAGGGUCCUUCUCCCCCUUGGUCCGCGCAAGGACCAAGUGCUCUCUACGGGCUGAUUCUUCGACACUCCGUCGCGGUGAAUCGCCCAAAACCGCUCACAAGCUUGACACGAGCCACCCACAAGAACUCCGGGUGAUCUUCGUGCCUCCAAUCACCACCGAACCGUCUAGGUGAUGGCGAUCACCAAGAGUAACAAGCAAAGAACUCUCACUUGACCCAAACAAGGCACUAGAGAGUGAUGGAUGCACACUUGACUCUUGGAACUCACUAGAGGAGGAUUCUCUCAAGAAUUCACUCAAAAACUAAUCCUCUCUAGGCUCUUUGCAACUCUCUUGCUCCACAACAAGUUUCUCUGAUGUUCAAAUGGGCAAGAGAGGUCUCAUGGACGAGGUGGAGAAGUAUAAAUACUAUCCACGAAGUUCGAAGGUUGGCCAACCGUUUUCCACUGAAAACGGGGUCACCGGACGCACGUUAUGUUGCACCGGACGCACUGCACCGAGCGUCCGGUGUGACAUAACGGCUACCUGCGCUUUUCUCUGACAGGUCACCGGACGCUAACUCUCAGCGUCCGGUGCACCGUCCGGUGCUCGGGGAAACCUUACAUGCUCCCUGCGCAUGGGACCGGACGCUACCCGGCGCGUCCGGUGCUAGCGUCCGGUGCUCAGGGGAACUUUGCAAGCUCCCUGGGUAAGGGACCGGACGCUGCCCGGUGCGUCCGGUGCCAGCGUCCGGUGCCUAACCCUAAGCACCAAACUGUUCCAACGGCUAAGGACCUCACCGGACGCACUCACAGAGCGUCCGGUGCAGCGUCCGGUGCCCCUUUGGGCACCCAAACUUCGUUGAAACGCGAUCGCUCCAACACGAGGUUUGUUCCUCUCGAUCUAAGGACUAUCUCUGAGCUGCCUAGUGCUAGGUUUACCAAGUGUGCACCACACCUAAACCUAAAGCCUUGCCUAAGUCAAGCUACUAGAUCAAAGCCCCUCUUAAUAGUACGGUCAAAGGAAAAACAAGGUCCUAAACUACUCUAAGUGCCCUUCUUCACCAUAUGGCACUUAGACCUAGUCUAGUCUUGACGAUGUCCAUCCAUCCUUUGAAAACUGAAACGAUUUCCACUAUUAAGUAGGCAUGUACGUCCCUGUCCAUCGAGUAUCUAUAUACCAUGACCUUACCUAUGGCUUUGCCUCUGCAAAACACAUGUUAGUCAUAGUAAUCAAUAAUGUCAUUAAUCACCGAAAUCACUAGGGGCCUAGAUGCUCUUUUAAAGGUAUGAAAUCUAAUUUGCAUGAAUUUUGUUUGUAAAAAAUAUGCUUUCAUUCUUAGAAGUAGGGAGUAGCUUAAGAAAAAGAAUCAAUCCUAUGAUAACAAUACAACCAUUACUCUAUUAUCAGAGCAUUUAAUUAGAAGUAGAGUGGAAAUGCUAAUCUCUCCGUGUUUCUUAUAAACCCACAAGAUAUCAAGAUUUAAUCUCUAAAAAUCUUUGAAUAAUGAUUUCAAUUUUAAACUAUUACUACACUACGAACUUUAUGCGGUUGGGUUUGUGAUAAAAUGGGAUCAAUAUCCAAUUAUUAUAAGUUUAUGAACAUAAAUGAUACAAUAUAAAAUGAAUAUAUUGUUAAAAUAUAAUUUGUGAGAUAGCGUCAUAUCAAUUGUGCAAAGAAAACAGAGGUAGUACAAUGAUUAUACACUCGAUAUUUUCACUUGAAAGUACUAUGAACUGCUUAUCUCAUGACGGUGACAAUACCGAAGUAUCACUCAUACGUAACCUCUUGUUUAGUUUCGAAAAGAUUUCGGAUUUCGAUACUGUAGCAUUUUCGUUUUUAUUUGACAAACAUUGUUUAAUCAUAGACUAACUAGGCUCAAAAGAUUCAUCUCACGAUUUACAGAUAAAUUGUGCAGUUAGUUUUUGUUUUGGUCUAUAUUUAAUACUUCAUGCAUAUGCCAUAAGAUUCGAUGUGAGAGAGAAUCUUAAAAAGUUUUUGGUUUUUAGAGUGAACUUAACAAGCCCUAAAUAAACAUACAGUACACCUCCAAUGCACAAGCACCGAGACACACAAAUAGACCGGCCUAUAGCCCACUCACACAGUAGGCACGACCAUGUCAUUGGAGGCAUCAUUCAUAUCAUGAUCCAUGGCUCGCUCUGUAGGUAACAGAUGUGUCGCUUUUCACAAGGUCAAGGUUUAAUUAAGAAGCAUAUUUGUCUAAUUGGUAGCCAACAUCUAAACCUAAUUUCAAACAUAUUUUGCAUUGUCUCAUAUAUAAUCUCAAACGAGGGUAAGGUAAUUCAUUUUUCCGCAUCGCAUACAAUAAAAACAAAGAAGAAACAUAAUUAUGUGCAAGAAAGCCAGCCGAUAAUCACAGAACACCCAGCUAGCUCUUAAAAUAGCCGACUCAUAUCAUCCACGCCUUGGACUUGUUUGCUAUCAAUAGCGGGAGCUACAUACGAUCGAGUGUGAGACUGCGCGGCUGGCCGGCUGCGGGCGUUGAUCGUUCACCAGUCACCGCAUCUUACGAUCGUCCUAUCCGAAACUAUCUGCCAAGAAUAGGAUCUCGCUUGACUUAUUAGAGCUGGAAAAAGUCACCACAGAAUAUCAUCUUAUGAUUCUUAUCCAUUUAAUAAUUUACUAUAGAUACUAGAGGGCCUAGUUCACUUGAUAAUUAAGAAAAAAAGGAAACAAGAAGCGGCCUUUCAUUUUGCCAGCAGCCGUACGUGGCUGUGAUUCUAUCUAAACAUAGAAGUCAACAAUGAAGUUUACAGCUGGAAAUGAGAUAGGUUGUGCCACCAACCACCUACUGGCUUAUAUAGAAGCCUAACUUUGCAUGUGUUUUGAUGGAGUAAUUAGAGCCUGCUGCUGUGCUUGGUUCAGUGUGUCUAGACAACCAUGCCUCCAGCUCAUUGAUAUUGAACGUUUGGCAAAUGAAAUUGCUGCCUGGUUGGCAAGUUCCUUGCCAGGUCGCCAUCUAAUAGAUCCUGUAUAGAUUGUUUUAUAAAACAUGUGUUGUAUAUUGCUCCAAAUAUAAACAUAUAGACAGUUAGCCGGUAAACAGUUAGGCGUAUAUUCAAGAGUUAAUUCUGGCACACGAUAAUGGUGUUGUUUUGACUUGUGCAACAGGUGAGCGUGAGGUGGACGUACGUGUGACUUGUGAGUAUGACCAAGAGUUUUGGCGUGGGCCCACCUGGCAGAUAUAACCUCCACUUCGCUGUCGACAGGGCCCCACUAUCCGUCCGAGGUUUAUUAUCCAUUCUGGAAACACCUGCCGCGUGCCGCCACCAGAAAAAAAGCGGCGGUUUGUUUUUACUUUAUUUGCUUUGAUCCAUCGUUUUAAAAGGCGUCAUUACUUCCCUUCGCCGCUAUCUCGAAUCCCCCCUCUCUUCUUCUUCUUCUUCUUCCUCCCCUCUCGCUUGUGCUGUUCGUGCUCUUUAGAGCUCGGUGAUCCGUAAGAGAGGUAUAGGCGGUAGCCAUGGCGGCGGCGCAGGCGAUGGCGAAAGGGAGCGUGGGGCAGGGGUCUCUUGGUCGGCGGAGGGGCGCCGAGGCGGCGCGGGUCGGAGGAUCAUGGAGGAAGAGCGCGUUCCUCGGCGGGAGGCUGGCGGUUGGGCCCAGGAGACCGAGACCCGUGUCCCGGAUUCUAGUUACGUCGCCGGCGGUGCAGGUUAUCGAAUCUCCAGAGUCCUCAGUUUUUUUUUGUUGUAUUAGGUUUUCCUCUAUUCAGCGUGAUGAAAUUGUUUUGUUUCGUAAGGAUCGUGAUGAAUUUGCAUGUAGAUAGAGUUUUGACAUGGCUGCUUCUUCGCUUCAGCAGACGAACCUUUCAUUUGCGAAAGCCAUGAAGUGGUGGCAGAAGGGAUUGCAGCCCAACAUGCGGGCGAUCCAGACCGCCCAAGACCUCGCCGAUUCCUUGACCAACGCCGGCGACGGGCUCGUCGUCGUCGACUUCUUCUCACCCGGCUGCGCUGGCUGCCAUGCUCUCCACCCCAAGGUAAUAUCAGGAACAAACAGAAAGUAAUGUGAUUCACAUGUCAAUUCAGUCGUGCUGUUGUAAGAUUUUUCUUCCCUUACGCAGAUUUGUCAGUUCGCGGAGAGGAACCCGGAUGUGCAGUUCCUGCAGGUGAACUAUGAGGAGCACAAGUCUAUGUGCCACAGCCUUCACGUUCAUGUGUUCCCUUUCUUCAGGUUCUACAGGGGAGCUCAGGGUCGGCUCUGCAGCUUCAGCUGUACCAAUGCAACUGUGAGAUCUUGUCCGAUCUUGUGUUCUGGUGUCAAUCGUUCUGUGUUCCUUGUUCUAAUUGUUGCAAGAACAUGUUAAAGCAAGGCUUGCUCCAAUUAUUUUGGAAGAUGUUUCUGUGGCCAAGGAACAGACUGUAGUAUAUAUCCAUUUAGCUUUAGAGAAUUAUAUUAACCAAUUUGCUGAAAGGAAAUGCAAAGUUGUGAGGGUCUUGUUAUUAUUUGCAAAUGGGAAAAAAAUGGCAUUAGUAGUAGGUCUCAAAUAUCCUGUUGUAGUGCUUCCAGAUCUACUAGGAAAAUAAAUCAAGAAAACCCUUGGAACUGAAAUCAAUGACAAUGCUGUGACCUGGUACUUGUCUUUGAUGUGCAAUUUGACUUCCAUUGGCCUUUAGAUAGUCUGGCUUGUCUUUGAUGUGCAAUUUGACUGCCAUUGGGCUUUAGAUAAGAUCCAAUGUAUAUCGAUAAUGGCUACCAAUUGAUUUAACUUAUACGGUUGGUGACUAUUGUAUGCAGAUUAAGAAGUUCAGGGAUGCACUUGCAAAGCACAGAGCUGAUAGAUGCAGCCUUGGCCCUACUCGGGGACUAGAAGAAUCAGAAUUGUUGGCCCUGGCUGCAAACAAGGACCUGCAGUUCACCUACACCAAGGAGGCAGAACUGGCUCCAAGCAUGGAAGAUGUCGCAGAGGUUAUGACUGCUGACCGUCCAGGGCUUCCGACAUCAACAAUGCCAUUGGCAAGGCAGGGAUCUGAGGACAGGGCCUUGGUCUCGUCAGGAAGAUGAUUGGUGACUGUCACAUCCUUCAGUUAUGUACAGUACUUUAUCGUUCUUCAUGUGUACAGUUUGCUCCUUUUCAUAGUUGCAGAGUGCAGGCUUCCAGAUUUUUACUUGUGAAGCCUGCCCACGCUGCCUACUAGAAAUGAAAAAAAUGUGUUAGCAAUAGCAACAACUAUUGUGAGCCUUUGGUCUUCUGGAAAUCGUAUGGUAUGAAUAAGUCUACUUAUUUGGUAGUGAUGCAUUUUAUAAAUCGCUGCUCCGUGAGUUGUUCUUGUUCUUCGUAAUGAAAUGGUACGGUGGCUGCUUUGUGAGUGAAUCGUUUAUGGUUUACCAAGUCUAUUUUAACUCGAAUGAUGGCAUCAUCCGAGCUCAGAAGGAAGGAAAGGGAUGCAAGAUUACGGCCUGGCACCGGUAGUGAAGGCCCAGGUCGUCUGGCCCAAUCCGUAUGUCUGAAGACUAACGGGCCCAAUAUCGUCGCUUUCUCACGGUGGGCAGUGGGCUAUGCAUUAAAGACAACACCAAUCCACUGAUUUGGGCCGUAGACGUUUUAUUGUUUUUAUUGCCAAACAUCAACGGUAGGCUGAACAUCGAUCCAGGGCUUAAUUUUAUCUUUCCUCGGCCACAAUUAUUUAUGGACUGAGUAAGCUUUCCUGGACUGCAGCAGAUCAAUAAAGUUCUUCUUGUAAACCUUUUUUGGGGAAGUAUAUGCCAAACUUUUGUGCUCACAAUUGGGAGAGUUGGCAACAAUAUACAGUACAGUAUACCAGCGCUACAUUAUUUAUCGUCUACAGUAUACAAGCACUGUAACCUUUUCAUGUUGGACCCAUUUAAGUCCGAAAAUGAUGAUUAAUAUAUUUUUCUUUUUUUCUGACAACAAAUGUACAGAGCAGUCCAAAAAAUAACGAACAAAAAUUUCCCAAUUCACGCGAUCAGAAUAAAUAUACACCUGCUGUCCACAGACCCGUAAACAUGUUUAAUUUUUACAACCUAUUUACGGGUUCGCGGACAAACAUCAUCCCUAGCUAGCUGAGUAGCUGCACUUGGCCCAACCCCAACGUACGUGGUGGCCGAGCUAGAGCUAGAGCUAGGCAAAUGAUCCGUAUCAUUUAGUAGAAAUUAUAGUUGCUUCCGAAAGCCAUGCCGAUCUGCCACCACGACGGCACGACGUCGGUCAUGUAGAGCGUCUGGCCGCCGGUGGAGGUGACGGAGAAGGAGAGCGACUGGCCGAAGAGCGCCGAGUUGCACUGCCAGUUGGCGCCCCAGUUGCGGUUCAGCGCGACCCACCCGGUCUUGGUCCCCUUCACAGACACGGACCGGAUGGAGCCGCUGCCGGCCACGUUGGAGAACUGCACCAGCUGGAAGAAGCUGGACCCUCCGAUGGUGAUCCUGAUCCCUCCCUGCCUCCAGCACGUCACCCUGCACCACCGCCGUCGCCGUCGAUCAGUCAGUUCACCGACCGGAGAAGCAAGGCAAGACGAAACGCAACGCAACGCUGCACUCUUACUGCUGGUACAGGACGGGGAUGAUGCCGGCUCUGUAGACGCCGAUGCGCUCCCAGGCGGGCUGCGCCAUGUCGAAGUGCGGCCGCGGCGGGUUGCACCAGCCGCCGCUGUUGCUGGGCUGCGCCCAGUUGGGCGGGCAGAAGUUGGUGGCCGUGACGGUCACCGCGGCGCCGCGCCUGCACCAGGGGGACGCGUUGCUGUCGCACAUCACCAGGUAGCACUGACCGCACGCCGCGCCGUCGUUGAACAGCACCGAGCUCAGCGCCGCCGUGUUCGUCCCGUACCCGGCCUGGUACAGGUUGCCAUACCCGCACGCGCCACCUAUUAUUAUUCACACAUUAAUUGCUGGUUGAUAUAUUAGCUCGAUCGGGAAAUGUACGUAUAUGGAAAACGUAUGUAUAUAUAUUAUGGUGGCUUUGGAGUUGUUCUUUUCACUUACCCAUUGUGCCGGAGCCGUCGCGGCCGCCGUAGAACGUCGCCGUCCCGUAGUUCCAGCCCUUCGCCGGCGCGAAGAACGACGUCGCCGCCAGGACGGCGAGCAAUGCGAGGGGUCUGUCCAUCUAUAUAUCGUCUAUCUCUAUCUCUCAGUGAACAAUACAGAUACAGAGGAGGAGUAUGUAGUGGUUUCAGUAAACCAAACCAGGAGCUCAAAUGCGUAGGAUGCUCUGACAGAUUAAUUUGGGGUGAUCGUGGCGUGGCUUAUAUAGGAUCAGCGGAAUAAUGAGAAUUAUGCGCGGCGCAGGGCACGGGAAUUGCUGGGAACAUGCGAUCGAUAUCCCACUGUGCUGGGCUGCUAGCCUUGCUAGUGCUAGCUAAGCUCACAUGCGUCCAAGGCAACAAAAAUGGACGCUGAUGCGUACUGCUCAUCAGUUGACUCCUGGCUUAGGAUUUCCUACAGCAUUUUUUCUCCUGAUGAUGUGAUGACAAGAAGCAUCGAAAUUGGCAUGCGAGAUCAUAUGCAUCUCGUGCACCCCGGCUGCAUGCAUGUUCAGUAAUCCGUACUUGCCGGGGUUGAGGCGUUGAGCUGAGUUGGUGACCUACUUCUUUCUGCGUUAGUUUAUGACACAGACUAUAAUUUGGAAUAAUAAGAUACAGUAGAUCCUAGCUAGCUAAACUAUGAUUUGGAAUGUGCAUGCAUGGCCGUUCUCGCUUAUCUCUCGUGUACGUGAAAUUCGGAGAGUUCUGAUGACCCACAUGAGGCCAUGAGAGGCCAGCGGUGUCAGCACAUGGUUUAUGCCCUGGAGGUGGAUAAACAACUGAGCUAGGGUUAAUGAAGUUGCCGCGUAAACGCAGAUGCUCAGCUUAAUCAUGGCAUACCUGGUCUAGAAGAGUCAGAGGUUUAUCGACCGGCCGUACCACCACCGGAUUCUUCAGGUUUCUUUACCAUUAGCAUGGAAUCCUUUGCCAAGUUGCACACAGCUGUGGCAUUUUUAUUUGCCGACUGGCGACCGUCGUAUUUUCUUUUGGGGAAAAGGCCUACCAUGCAUAUGCUCUUUUUUUUUACUGUGAUAACAAACCAGUCUUAAGAAUGUCUUAUACUGCCCUGAUAACAUAGUCAUUUUCACCUGAACGUUGCUGAUAUGAUAUAUAUUUCACAUGAGCCAUCAAUUAGCUCUUCAUACUUCUUAUUGCGAUGAAGAAUUUUCGCGUCCCAAACAAACAAAUCGUUUACGUUCUGCUUCCAACAUUAGCUAUGCACGACGCAACGGAUAUCUAUCACAGAUGAGAUUGCCACAGAUCGAUUGUGCGAACCAGUUGCCUUGCUCAGUUGCCACAGUUCACAGUGCAUGCGCAGGGGACGGCGCAAGAAGGCUUCUCGAUUUGAACGUUUUGAGUUGCAAUCACACCUCACCUGGGUUGCCCAACUGCCAUGCAAGUGAAGCCCAUAACUUGAACCAGUACGAAUCGUUUGUCAGGUCGAUCCUAGCCCAAUCACUCUCAUGUCUCAUCCAAAGCGUACUCUUGGAGUCCAACAAGAGUUUCUUUUAAUAGAGUUAAAUACAUUAAUGGCCUCGACUUGUCAGUCAUGAGGUGCCACGUAGGUUCAAAAAUUGUUCAAAAAAACAUAGGUUCAAAAUAUUUAUAGGUCUCUAAACUUGUUAACUGAUGUAGUUAACAAGGCCUAAACUUAGGCCUUGUUUAGUUUCAAAAAAUUUUGGAAAAUCGACAUUGUAGCACUUUCGUUUGUAUUUGACAAAUAUUGUUCAAUCAUGGACUAACUAGGCUUAAAAGAUUCGUCUCGUCAAUUCCGACCAAACUGUGUAAUUAGUUUUUAGUUUCGUCUAUAUUUAAUACUCCAUGCAUGCAUCUAAAGAUUCGAUGUGACGGGAAAUCUGAAAAAUUUUGCAAAUUUUUUUGGAAACUAAACAAGGCUUAAGUUUGAUUGGUUGCCUGCCCAUCCCUGAACUUAUGGGUUUGAUUGAACCUAUGGGUUUGAUUGGUUGCCUGUGUAACUUGGGCAACAAGCCCGCAACUUAGAUGUGGGUUCCCAAGAUGGCUUAGCACAACACUAUCAUGUUUUUGGUUGCUCGCAAAUCCAUUUCUAGACAAUAUAGACCAUGGCAAUACAUCACUUAACAAGUUUAUAGAUCUAGAGAUGCAUUUUCAAAAUUCGCUGACCUAUGACACCUCUUGACAAGUUUAAGGCCGUUAAUACAUUUAACUCUUUUUAAUAUAUAAUAAGGAGUCCAAUAAGAUAUUGACAAAGCCAUGAAUAUGACGUCCAUAUCUUUUUAUUUUUUAGUAUAUGUGGCCUCCGUAUCGGAUUAGGACAACUAAUGAUCCUGCCACAAAAUGUCCAAGCCCACUUAAUUAAGAACCAAGUAAGAUGAUCAUGGAGUUAAUUACACUCGCAAACCGUGCAUAUGUGAAUUGUUAGGUUCCAUUUGGUUCUGAGUUUAGGUCCUAGACUUCACAAGUUAGUUUUUUUUUUCUAGAUUAUAAUUGCAAAAAAUCCACUAAUAAUUAACGUAUCAAGUGUAAUCUGUACCUUGUUUUCCAAAAAAAAGGACAGUGCUACGAUAUUUUUUCUUUACUCACUAGGAGUUAAUAUCCCGAACAAAUCGACACUGUUUUUUUUAGAUUUUUAAAUUAACUAAUUAACCUAGGAAAAUACUGACUGAAUUACUGAUGAGACACCGUCUCCCGAAAGAACUGGACCGCAAGAAACAGUUGAAUCAGAAUCACCCUUACCACGAAUCAUGAUUCAUGAAUUCUUCAGUCGAUCAACUGCCUAGCCGGCUCGCACUAUACACAUACCACACAAUUCAAACGGUUCCCCCAAAUUAUUUAAUUUCUUAUUUUUGGACAGUAUAAUGCCUAAAGUGUUUCUUCAAUCAGAAAGCCUUAAAUCUGCUACUAGCUGGCCCAUGUAGCAAUGUAUGGAACGGGUUGGUUCGCCGUCAGAUGGGGAACUGGACAACGGAGGUGAAGGACUGCCCGAACUUCCACCAGGCCGGCACGACGUCGGGGACGACGACGGUGCGGCCGUCGGUGGAGGUGACGCCGAAGGUGAGCGCCUGGCCGGCGAGCCCCGCGAGCGACUGCCAGUUGGCGCCCCAGUUCCUGGCCAUGGGCAUCCUGUCCGUGGCGCUCCCCUUCACCCACACCGCCUUCACCGACCCGCUGCCGGCGACGUUGGUGAUGAGCACCAGCACGAAGUAGUUGGAGCCGGUCACCGUGAACCGCACCCCUCCCUGCUUCACGCACGCCGUCCUACGCAGGCACAGCACACACCACCGGUGGUGAUCAGACACGUACACGAGAUUUUUUUUUUCUGAAGUCAAAACCGUCCAAGUAAGGUCCUGUUUACUUCCAACAAAAAUCUAAAUUUUUUCAAGAUUUUCCAUCACAUCGAAUCUUUAAACGUAUGUAUAGAGUAUUAAAUAUAGACAAAAAUAAAAACUAAUUACACAGUUUGAUCGAAAUUGUCGAGACGAAUCUUUUAAGCCUAGUUAGUCUAUAGUUGGACAAUAAUUAUCAUAAACAAACGAAAGUGUUACAGUGUCGUGAAAUUUUUCACAUCACUAACUAAACACACGGCCUAAUAAACUAUACGGUGUACCUCUGGUAGAGCACCGGCACGAUGCCGCCCUUGUACUGGGCGAUCUGGAGCCAGGCGGGCUGGGCCAUGUCGAAGUGGCGGCGGGGAGGGUUGCACCAGCCGCCGCCGCCAUCGUCGCCGGAGAGCUCGUGGUUGGGCGGGCACAGGUUGGUUUUUUCUCGACCAGGUGAAAAUCACCCGUAUUUCAUUAAGAGGAAGGGAGUUUUUUGAAAUAACACAGCGUGCCUGACAGGUAGCGGCGAGUAGCCACUUAAAACCGGCAAACAGGAAAGCAAAAAAGAACUGGAAAGAAACAAAUUGUUUCGAUUAUAGGGCAGCACUCAGAUGCGACCAGCGCGUAAGAGCUUCUCCAAGCGGUAGAAACCCAGCGGAGACCCAAACGUCAGCCUCGUGCAGGACAUCGAACACCAAGUCGCGGAAGCUUCGACUAACUCCAUUGAACGUUCUGCCGUUCCGCUCUUUCCAGAUGGACCAGGAGAUGAGAAAUGUCACGGCGUCGAACAUCGGCCUAGAGUCCAUGGGCAACGAGCCCCUUGAGCGUAGCCACCAUUGAAUCAAAGUGUCCUCUGUGGAAGCUUGGAUUGACGCCCACCCAAGAGGCGACAGGAGGGCGAACCAAAGCUGCCUGGCCACAACGCAGCCCAAGAGAAGGUGAUCUGCAUCCUCAGGUUCCUGGCAGCAUAAGACGCAGGCAUCGUCAUCCUGUAAGCCAUGACGCUUUCUCCGUUCCGCCGUCCACAAUCGCCGGUGCAAUGCGAGCCAAAAGAAGAAUUUUACUCGCGGCGGCGCCUUAACACGCCAAAGCUCCCUAGCACCAGGCAACUCGAUGGAGCCAUAGAAGAACGCACGAUAAGCCGAGGAUGCAGAGUAGGAGCCAUCGGUCGACCAUUUCCAAAUAAAACGGUCCGAGGCGAGAGGAUUGAGCUGGACCUGGCGCAAAAGCUCCCACACUCUAAGGAAUUGGCAUAGCACCGGCGUUGUGAGGGCGCCCACAAUUCCUGAUGCCCAACGGUUGUUGAGCAGCCCAUCCUUGACGCUUAGCCUUUUACAGUGGCGCGACGCCGCUGCGUACAGGGCCGGUGCGAAGUGGCAUAGUGGGCCAACCGUCGUCCAGUUAUCAGUCCAGAGCUUGGUGCUCAGUCCAUCCCCUACGACCACUGAGAUGCUGGCUGCGCUCAUUGCUUGCACAUGUUUAUCCGCUUUGGCCGGCAACGCUGCCCAGGAACGAGACGGAUCGCUGCGUCGCAGCCAUUCCCACCUCAGCCUGAGAGCGAUUCCAAAGUAACGCAUGUCGAGAACGCCCAGACCACCCAGUUGAGUUGGACGGCUGACCAUGGUCCAAGCGACUUUGCAUUUUCCACCAGAGACGGUCUCAGCCCCAACCCAGAGGAAGGCACGCCGUCUUUUGUCAAUUUGCUGUAUUGCCCACUGGGAUAGACAACAGGCGAUGCUCAGGUGUACUGGGAUGGCGGACAGUGUCACCUUCGUUAGCAAAACCCGACCAGCCGAUGUCAGCAUCCCAGCCUUCCAAGUCGGGAUCCUUGCAGCAAUGUUGUCAACCACCGCUAGCUCAUCCGCCCUCCUUAGGCGGGUUAGCGAUAACGGAAUGCCCAAGUAUCUGCAUGGGAACGAGGCAAUGACACAAGGAAACUCCUGUCGCGCCGUCUGGAUCAUUUCUUCAGAGCAUCGGAUGGGUGUGAGGGCACAUUUCUCCAUGUUCGUGACUAGCCCAGACGCCCCAGCAAACAGCGUCAAAAUCUGCCGAAAGCACCUGAGGUCCGGAAUCGUUGGCGCUAGCAGGACGACCAGAUCAUCCGCGUAUAAGGAUGCACGAUGGACGAUUGCUGUCCCUGGCAGAGGUGUUAGCAUCGCGUGUUGAUCAGCUGCCCUGAUCAGAGAAUUAAGAACCUCCAUGACGAUGACGAAAAGCAUGGGCGAGAUGGGGUCACCCUGCCUCAGUCCUCGGGCAUGUGCAAUUCUGCGACCCGGCCGCCCGUUUAGCAGCACCUUGGUGCUAGCCGUGGAGAGUAGGAUGGCGAUCCAUUCUCUCCAACGUCUGGGGAAGCCGAUGAACUGCAGGACCUCCAGGAGGAAGUUCCAGGCGACCGAAUCAAAGGCCUUAGCGAUGUCCACCUUGAGCAGAACUGCCGCAAACUUCUUAGAGUGAAGCCAUCGACAAGCCAGCUGAACCGAACGGAAGUUGUCGUGUAUGGAGCGGUCCUUAAUAAAAGCGCUUUGAUUUAGUGCCACUAUGCCCUUUAGGUACGGCGCAAGCCGGCGAGCUAGGCAUUUGGCGAAUAGUUUGCUGAAGCUGUGAAUUAGGCUUAUUGGUCUGUAAUCCUGCAGCCGAGUCGGUGACUGAGUUUUGCGCAGCAGAACCAUCUGGGCACCAUUUAGCAGAUGGAAGCUCCUGGCAUCUAGCGACCAAAGGGCGUUGAAGGCAUUGACGAUGUCAUCCUUGAUGAUUUCCCAUGCAUCCCUGUAGAAUCUGCCAGUAAACCCAUCAGGCCCUGGCGCACGGUCCAGUGGCAUUUCUCUGAUUGUUGCCCAGAUCUCAGCCUCAGAGAAGCAAGCGUCAAUGCCUGAAAGUUCCAGUUGCGGUAGCAGGUCUUGUAAGUGUAGUCCAUGGCUUCUGCUGAACGGUGUACCAAGAAUACUGUUGUAGUAAUCAAAUAUCAGAUCUUCCUUUGCCUCCUCGGCAGAGAAACAUUGUCCAUCAUGUUGGAAGAAUGGAAUGUAGCUCUUGCGCUUGCGGUGACACGCUUGCAGGUGGAAGAACUUCGUGUUCGCGUCACCCUCCUCCAGGAAACGGAUCCUGGAGCGCUGACGUGCAAUAGUUCGGGAAAGGGAAGCUAAGCCCAGCGAUUGCCUCUUCAAACCCUUACGCAAGUCAGUUUCUUGUAACGACAGCUCCCUGGUGUCCUGUGCAGCAUCGAGCUGGGCAAUCAGCUCUCAGACCAUGAACAGCUCCAACCGAACGCUGCCUAUUUUCCUCAUACUCCAGCUCUUGAGCGCUUUUGCCGUACGCCGUAGCUUGAAGUCGACCGUUCUGCAUGCGUCUAUGUUGUCCAGAUUGCACGACCAAGCCUGUUGAACAACAUCAAGAAACCCAUCCAUCUUCGGCCAGAAGCAUUCAAACCGAAAACACGGUUUGGGCCGUAGCUGCGUGUCUAACCGUAAAAGCAACGGUGCGUGGUCGGAUGAGUCAGUGGAUAGGGAGCGCAUGUGGUGAUCGGUGAACUGUUGCAUCCAGAGUAGCGAGCCGAAAGCCCGGUCGAUCCGUUCAAGAGUUGGGUGGCGCCGCUCGUUGCUCCAGGUAUACAGCCUGCCGUGCAGGUAGAGCUCUUCCAACUGAAGAUCAUCAAUGACUCGACGAAACCUCCUCAUAGAACGGAUAUUGAGGCGGUCAUUGCUCUUAUCUGCAGCCUGGUAGAUCAGAUUGAAGUCACCACAGAGAAGCAGUGGCGUCGGGCAGUCCGCGUGGAUCUCACGCAGCUCUUCGAGGAACUCAGCUUUCAGCUCAUCAUCAACCGGUCUAUAGACCGUUGCCAACGACCAGGUUGGUUGCGCUGACACCAAGGAUUGAAUGUCAACGGUGACCGAGAAGCGUCGCAUAGUUUGACGCUGCACAGACCAGAGGUCACGGCGCCAACCGAUCAGGAUUCCGCCCGCAACCCCUACGGAUGGGAGGAACACAUAAUCAAAAGAUGAUCCCAUUAAAUCACAGGCCACUGAGGACCGAAUUACAUCUAGUUUUGUUUCCACCAGGCAAACGACCGAGACGUGCUGUUGCAGGAUAAACUCACGCACAACGUCACGUCGCGCCCGAGAGUUUAGCCCACGCACGUUCCAAAUAAAGAUGUUGUGCAUUGUCAUAAUAAACAUCAAAGAUGGCGACCUUUACAAACAUGCUUAGGCGGCGCGAACGGGGUGUGAACCCCGCUGCUUCCUGCCAGAAAGUAACACCCCCAUGGCCUCCCUCUUAGAGGGGGAGAGUGGCAGCUUGAAUGCCACUUGGAACUCUUCAAAGGUCGUCGUGUCAGGAUGCUCAGUCGCAACAUCAAUGUCGAACUUUCGCAUCAUUACCUUGCGCGCCUGGUCCUCUGGCCGUGGUUCCUUGUGCCUGUACUUAGCCGCCAACCUAGCGCUGCGCUUAGGGACAAGCUCUUCAUCUGUGCGGUUGUGGGACCUGGCCAACCUGGUGGAUCGCAGGCGCGGUGGCGACAGCAGGAUCGGCUGCUCGAGCGGCUUCCUGAAGGAGUCGAUGAAGGUGUCGACGUUGAGCGGUUGGGCGGGAACCUGCUCUUCAAUCGGUGGCGCAGGCAGCACGACCAAAGAUCCGUCCUCCUGGGCUCCUCGCGGCGAAUUAGGCGCGGAACAUAAGUCUUCCGGCCCUGAGAGGUAGAGAUUCACCUCCACAGGCAGCCCACGGUCGACCGUGGAACCAUUGUCGUCAAAACGAUGCGGCCCGAAGCCAGGCAUGGAUUCCGGCCCAUAGAGCGGCCCUAGGUUUAGCUGUCUUGCCGGGGCGACCCAACUUUCGAACUCCAGGUCCAGAAUACGACCCGAGUAUCCUUGGAAGCAAAGAUUGGGGGAUCUCUUGUGAGGUAAGAUAUCAACGGUGUGUGGGCAUACCUCAGGCGCUACCGGCGUAGCGGGCAGGCCCUCGGACAAAGCCGCCUCCAUCCGCAUUGGGUCGUCCACUGGGGAGAUGACAGGAUGGGACCCGCCAAUACCCCCAGCACUGCGCAUAGCAAGCAUGUCUGGAGAGCAAGUCUCUCCCGUCAGGCGGGCAGCGGGAAUCCUGCUGCCAAAGAUGCGACAGGGCGCGCCGCCCACAGAAGCGACCGGGCACGCGACGUCCCCCACCCGGAUGACAGACUUGGCCUCCCGGGCACGGAAUGCUGGGCCCCACCCGUUACUCAGCCGCGGGUCCCCAGAGGCUCCGAAACGCGUGUUUCUCGGCCGGCGACCACCGCCACCGCUGGGCUGCUCCCCAGGGUGGUAGCCAUUGAAGUUACUGUCCCCGCUGUCACUAUCGUCGUCGCGCUGGAUGUCGUCUUCAUCGUCGGAGGACGGCGGCGGAGUAUGCCAAUCCUGGAAUUCCACAAUACGAGUGCGCACAAGAUAGCGAAGUGCGGGGACUUCCGUGUGGAUUAUCUCGUGCGGACGGAGGUAUAACGGCGAACCUCCAUCGUGGUCUUCUUCCUUCUCGGGCACGGCCAUGAUCAUCUCAUCAUGGAUAAGAUCAGGAUGUGCACACCAUGCUGCAACGAAGAGCUCACGCUCAUCCUCAGGGUCCUGGACAGCGACCGGGCUUGCCAACUCCACACGCGCACAGGAGGACCCGAGGAUCGCCUGCGCAACCUCGGCUGAAUGCGCGUGCGCCGGGAUCCCCUUCAUUCCCACUAGCACCUUGAAGCGGAACGCGCCGGCGGAAGCCAUGAACAAGCGGCUCCGACGUCUCCAUCGAAGUCGGAACGGCGCUCCCGCAGGCGUCGCAGAGGUGAGCACUCGCUCGAGGUCCACCACCGAGGAGAAUCUCACUAUGAAGUCGUCCGGUCUGGUGCGGCGCACGGACGCACGAUCCUCAGUGAUCCCAUAGAACUGCAGCAAGUGGUUGCGCACCAUCUCCGGCGAGACGAACGGGCGAUUGCCCAGCACCAAAGCGACCAAUGCCAGAGAUAGGUCGUCCUCCGCCGCUUGCAGCUGCGGCGUACGAGGGACAACCACAAGCCCCCGCAGCGGCGACCUUGCGCGGGAGCGCGGGGAUGCUGGCGGGGCCAUCGCUCGUCGCAGAAGGGAGCGAGGUGGACCUGCUGGGCGCCUAGGCGGCUCGUCCCCGCGUUGAGCCCCUCCCAAGUCUUCGUCUUCAUUAGAUGCGGCAGGCGCCCCCACCGAGGGGCCUGCAUCUUGGCGGCCAUCGCCCGCGUCCUGAGGCUGUAGCGCCGAGGAAUGCACCGCCUCCCAUACCGGCGAUCCCACACGGGGUAGUGGCUCCCCAGGCGCCGCGCGGGGGGUAGGUGGCAGGCACACUAGCGGCACGGAGGGAGAUCUGCCAGUAGAUGCCGAGCGCGCAGACACCGUGUCCGCCGACUGAGCACGGCGAGCCCUGGCAAAGCGGCGCCGAGAGCCUCCUCUUUGGCUCGAAGGGCGCCCAGGAGAGCGACCACGUUUCCCUCCAAGGUGGCCACGCUGCCUGACCGGGAGAGGGCACUCUCUAGCUUGGUGCCCCACAGACUCGCAGUUGAAGCAGCGCGGCGGCAACCGGCAGUCUGCGCGAACGUGGUCGGUGGCGAAACAGUUGAAGCACUUCCCCACCAGGUCCUGAGGCACCGGCUUCCGGGGAGAAGGGGCGCGCCGCCACCGACGACGACUCUGCACCUCGUGGAAGCCAUCCGCAUCUGGGGCCACGGACAUACGCGGCGGGUGCACCACGAGGGAUGCCAACCGGCGUGGAGGAGGUGACGACAGCCGGGCGUCGGCUGCGGGCGGCGCCAUCCAUGCCCCCCGCGGACGGCGGCGACGGCGCCUCCGAAGCCGGCGCGGCAAGAGCGAGUCCCUCCGGAGAUCCGACGGGGCGUCCGAAUCAGCCAGCGACCCAUCUGAAUCCGUGAGCUGCACCCUGUCCGCAUCAAAAGGCACCGCGAGUGGGUCAAGGGAGCUUGCCUGAAGGACUGAGCGCGCGUGGGCGGCCGCUGCUAGCGGAGGGAGUCCGAAGAGGGUAGAUCCGGCAGUGGGGCGGGCGAUAUCCUCAUCCCCAGCCGCCAUAGCUUCGUGGCGGCGAGUUGGCGACCUGGGAUCCGUCUUGAGGACGGCGGAAUGGGUGGCCGUCGGGGCCGGAAUGGCCGCCGACAGUGCUGGUGGACGUCGGGGCCGGAGUGGCCACCGACGGGGUGGGUGGACGUCGGGGCCGGAGUGGCCGCCGACGGGAAGGUGGACGUCGGGGCCGGAGCGGCGCCGGCGAAGCUCUCUCAACUCCGCGUGCGUCGGGUGAUACCUCUCCGUUAACGAGAAGUUUGCGGGCACAGGUUGGUGGCCGUGACAGUCACCGACUUCCUCCCCGGCAGGCACCACUGGGACGCGCUGUCGUCGCACGUGACCCGGUAGCACUCCCCGCACGCCGCGCCGUCGUUGAACAGCGCCGAGCUCAGCGCCGCCGUGUCCGUCCCGUACCCGGACCAGUACAGGUUCCCGUACCCGCACGCGCCGCCCAUCGUGCCGGAGACGUCGCCCCCGCCGUAGAACGUCGCCGUGCCUUUGGACCACCCGCUGUCGUCCGCCGCCGCCGGUGGCACCAACGGCCACGCCGCGGCGGCGAUGAUGAUGAGGAAAUGGAAGCGUAGUGGUCUCUGCAUCUCCAUGGACUUUUACAAGUGCGCUCGUACUAGCUUAGCUAGCUACAAAGACUGAUGAGUGACAGUGAAGAGGAGCUGUUAAAUAGGACCUGCCAAAUGCUCCACUGCGCCGGCUUGGAACUCUACUUCUCAGGGGCGCGCGGCCAUGGCAAAGCAGAACGUCUGACUAUAUGGGUGGACGGUGACACGUGUACUCGCCCGGCUUAGAAUACAUCUCGAUCGUGGAUCGGCGUCGGCGAUCGCUUUCUUUUCUUCUUCGUAGCUUGUGCCAUGGACACAUGUCAGAUCGAUCCGGUGCUUCGCCAUCUCUACUCUGUCCUGCUCAGUGCUCACCAUGCUGGAUCAGCAGUCCAGGUCAAUGACACUUGCGAUUUGCAUGUUCAUGUAGCUCUCGAGUCUCGACUAAGGCCUUAUUUAGAUCCGGAAAAUUUUUUGAUUUUUGACACUGUAAUACUUUCGUUUUUAUUUGACAAAUAUUAUUUAAUUAAGAAGUAACUAGACUUAAAAAAAUUAGCACUAUAUAAUUUAUAUUUUUUAGGAAAGUUAUCACUAUAUAAUUUUUUUAAUGUAUACUCUCUUUUUUCAAAACUAUAAGAUGAUUUGACUUGCUUAGAUAUUUAGCUUUUGCUAUGCACUUACAUACAUUGUACACUGUAUCUAGAUCUCAUUCCAUACCCGGUGCUAGGCAUCGCCACGUUGCUAGGUUCGUCGAUCGCUUAUUAGAUGCGGGCUCCGUCGCUGUUCCUUGGCGGAUCUGAGCUUUGCAGCCGCUGCUAAUCUAAGCAACUGCUACCAGAUCCGAGCCACGACCACCGCCGCAGAGCCCUGGCCAUCGUGGGAGAUCCCCUAGGGCCACUAGGGUGUGAGCGACCCUUUGUCGCUGGGAGGCGCAUCUCACCCUUGUGUUGCCACCGUCCGAAGAAAGGAGUGUGUGGGUAGGGAGAGCUAGCAGAUAGAGAGAGAAAAGAGAGAUGAAGAGAGAUGCAUGCCGCUAAGUCUAUGGGUGCAAGGAGAAAGAAGCAAGGGUCUCUUUGCUUAUAUACUACGAACCCAUUAUCUGUCAAGAUGGGUCGCACAAAAUGGUAGUGGCCUUGGCCAAACUAAGAAGAGGUCCGUCUCUGAAAAUGAUUAUUAUUUUUAUAGGCGGAUAUCUUAGAGACCAUAUCUAUAAAUUUAUUUUGUGAGAGCUAACUUUUUUACCACCAUCGUAUAUCCACCUCUAAAAAUCCUCACGUGUUUAAGAUACAAAUGAGUUUUGUGACAUGAUGGCCAAUUUUUUACCACCACCUUAAAUAAAACGUCCACAUCCGGAAAUCUCCAGGUAUUUAGCUUUUUUUAGAGAUGGCUGAGUGCCUGAGUUUUGUGACCAUCACCGUUAAUGAUUGGAUAGUCCACUCAAACAUGGAUACAAGUGCAAAACCCUCUUAAUGAGGCUAGGAUUAACAUGAGAUUUGCUCCAAAUGGUUGCCCCCUACCCCCCCCCCCCCCCAAAAAAAAAACUACUAUAGCCCAGGCAGCAGUUAGCCCAAGUGCGUCCAAAAGAGCUCCAUAUUGAGGUUAGGAUUAACAAGAGAUUUGGCCCAAAUGGUUGCCCACUACCCAAAAAAAAAAACGGUAUAGCCUAGGCACCAUUGCGCCCAUGCCGUGACACACUGAUCCUAUUGUUGUUCGUACAAGUCAGCAGCACUUCUUUUCGAAGAUAAGUCAUCAACAAUUUCACCCGAGGUAAAAAACUUCGAAAGGUAGCGUAGUCUAGUUGCCAAUAAUAGUCAAAACCUUGCACGGCCAUUUCAUUUCUACCAAAAAAAAAAAAAACUGCCGACACUAAACUCACAUGUGGUCUGUUUCUUCUCGCAAUAAACAAGCGCCAUUUUGGCACAUCCAUCGAUCAGGUCCACGCUAAUUAACCUCGUGUCCAAGCAAAGGCAGUCACGACAGAAUUAUCUCUUUUUUUUUCUUGGUUUCUUUUUCCAGCAACAAUCAUUCAUCGUAAAAGCGGCCGGCAUGGCGGGCACUAGGAGCUCGAUCAGGCCGGCCGGAGACCCAUGAAAACCUACCUCAGCCAUGCCAACCGCAUUACUACUACGCCUAGCUGCUAAAGCAUUGAGUCACUAACAUUUGCAUAGCAAUAUAAUGACGCUAAACAAGAUCAGGCCUUCUUUUUUUCUUUUUUGACAAGUUUCCAGAUGAUGCAAAAAUGAAGUGAAAAUCAUCGCGCGACGAGCAGAAAGCCGGCCGGCAUGCAUGGCGCUGCCACCGGCAUGGCGCCGCCGCUAGUAGAAAUUUUGGCCGUUGGUGAAGGUCUGGCCCAGCUGCCAGUUGGAUCCGGCGACGUUGUAGAACUCGAGGAACCUGCCGUUGGUGGCGGUGACACGGAAGGAGAUGCUCUGCCUGGUGAGGUCGCUGUUGGCCUGCCAGUUGGCGCCCCAGUUCCGGGACAUGGUGAUCCACCCCGUGGACGAGCCCUUGAUCUGCACCGCGCUGAUGGACCCCGGCCCGGCGACGUUGAAGAUGAGCACGAGCUUGAAGUACCUGUUGCCGUUGAUGGUGAAGCGCACGCCGCCGGUCCUGGAGCAGGACACCCUCUGGUAGAAGACCGGGACGAUGCCGCCGCUGUAGACGCCGAUCUUCUCCCACGACGGCUGGGACAUGUCGAAGUGCUGCCGCGGCGGGUUGCACCACCCGCCGUCGUUGCUGGGCUGGGAGUAGUCGGCCGGGCACAGGUUGGUGGCGGUGACGGUCACCGUCACGCCCGGCUUGCACCACCGGCUGUUCUGCUGGUCGCACUUCACCUGGUAGCACUCCCCGCACGCCGCGCCGCCGUUGAACAUCGCCAAGCUCAGCGCCGCCGUGUCCGUGCCGUACCCCGCCGAGUACAGGUUGCCAUACCCGCACGCGCCACCUGUACGUCGCAAUGCUAGCUGUUCAGCUGUGCAUUCACUAUAUAUAUAUAUACGCACUGCAACCGAAAAGCUAAGGGUCUUGCAUUGAUCGAUCACUCACCCAUUGUGCCGGCGGCGUUGGCCCCGCCGUAGAACGUCGCCGAGCCUCUCUGCCACCCGGCCCGGACCGUCGUCGCGGCGAGGCAGGCUGCUACGGCAGCCACGAGCAGGCGGCACAGGUCGACCUUGCGCGCCAUGUCGAUCAGUUGACAAUGGAUAGUGGGGGAGUGAGCGAGCUGGACGAUGCAACGUGCCCGCAGUGGAGGUGAUGAGUGAUGAGUGAGGGAGAGAGGGCGGUGAUCGCGGCGGUGCUUAAAUAGGAGCGCGGCGGCCGACGGGGGAGGCGGAGGCGGAGCUCAUCACACCACGCGCGCGAACCCCGACGCGCGCGCGGGCUCACUCACAUGCUCAUCAUGCAUGCCGCACCCAGACGCAGCGCCGUGCGCCUUAAAUGCCACGAUUCCUCUUUGUUUUCUCCACCUCCCGGCCGUCCUCCGUCCAAAAAAGUCUAUCGAUCUCUGGCUUCAGAAGUUCAGAGUUCGCCUCUCGUCCACUGGCAGGCAAGGCAUUUCGAAUCGAAGAAAGAUUCUUCUGCAGCUCUGCAUGCGGCCAGCCGGCGUCUCCAAUUUUCUAUGCCGGUCAGCCGUGCUUCUCUGCCAACCGCCGGUGAUCCAAGAAACCGACCAUUUAUUCAUUUUCUCUGCGCAAGUGAUCUGGCCAGUAAUGAGAAAGAUAUAGAUAGAUCGAGCAAUGCACUGAUCAGUGUUACGUUUUUAUGAUACGAUACGUACUGUACGUACGACUAAUAAACAAACAAUACAAUGAUUACGGCGGGAAAAGGUUUGAGGGAUUAGUUAUUAUUGUCUGAUGAUGAUAGUCGAUGGGAGAGGCAGCCGGGAGUGUCACGUGAACUCACGAGACUCCAGUGCGUGGAGCACAUGGGAUUACGGCCGGAUUUACGGCGAGGGGGUUGCGUGAUUACCGACGAGCGAGCGCGAGGCCGGCCGGGUCCCCGGAUCGAGGAAGCCUCACUGCCGUGAUCACGAUGGAGCCCUUGGAUCGUGCCGUUUGACGCGCUUGGUUUAACCUUAACCUAUGCCUACCUAGCCUGACAGUUAGUGGCUAGGGAAUUUAGCUGUGUAUACAGUUGGUUAGGUAGGUAACUGUAGCUUCAGCCUCUCAGGGAGUUCAGCACUGGCUAGUGGUAAGUUGAGCAGAAUAGGGUUCUCUAGAACCGCUGUUGCAUUGUCAGGUUGAUUGGAAUCUACGGAAAGGAACUUGAUAGUUACUAUUCCUUACUCCAAGUCAACUGUCACCGUACCACUAGGCUGAGGCCACCAUUAGAUUUGGACUUUUGGAGGAAGCCCCUGCUUCAGAAUGUACUUUAUUAUCUUUAGAUUCCUUUUAACUGAUGCUACGACUUGGUUUAUCUAGUGUGGUUAGAUCUUAUGGUCAAACCACUUGAUUUGAAUGAUACAGGAUACAUUUUGUUUCUAAGGUUUCCACACCUGGUGUAGAUAAGUUGAUACACAGACAGGUGAACACACUUGCACUCUCCACCACUCAUGUAUCCUGUGUCCAAUCUUCUUCUUGCACUUGCACUGAAUACUCAAAUCCAUUUGGAACCAACCAUUUCAAGCACCAAAUAGCUAUCUAACACUAUUUUAAAAAUGGAUAUUAAGCGGAUGUAUUACACUAGGAGACAACUCCAAAAGGAAUAUGCACCACCAGAGAGGCAUACAAAUCUCCUCACUUGUUUGUAGGAACAAGCCCUGAUUCAAACCCAGGGUAACAUAGGCAUAAAUAUCAACACUUCAAAUCUUAAACAGAGAUUUCAAACUCAAACAUCUACCACCCAAGGCCAGGAUCAAGGCAUUAAGCUGGAGGCUUCUUAGGAAUGCUCUAGCAACCAGUGACAGAGCACCCACAUCCUCCACCCAUAUAGACAAUAGUUAUGCAUCAAGGCCCCAAAUUUUUCAGUGUUUGACCCAGUGGCGGUGGACAAGUAAAAACAAGGUGUGGCAAAGAGUUAAGCUUGAUUAUUGGCACAAAAUAAGAAAUAACACAUGACAUAACCUGGACAAAAAGAGUGAAACAAAUUGAGAUAUGACAGGUGUCACACCUAGCCCUACCAAGUGCUCUGCCACUGAUUUGAUGAACCCAAUAUUAUGUGGCUAACAUUGUUUUGCAGAGGUAUUCACAAUUAGUCACAUCGAGGCCACAUGGUUAUCUUGACCCCAGCUUUCGGAGUUGAAGUAUUGGUGCAAGGAUAUUUGCAAAGACUGAAGACAUGUUAAUGUCUAAGUGUGUGCUAAUGUGAUGAGGCACUUAGACACACAUUGUGGGUGUUUGUUGGAAAGAACAAUCGAGACUAGUGUUGGCGUUUCUUAGCGAAACCACUAAAGAUAGAGUUUGAGUCCAUCCC
Molecule: long non-coding RNA, 43825 nt
Filed under: Sorghum bicolor (sorghum)
Lineage: Eukaryota; Viridiplantae; Streptophyta; Magnoliopsida; Poales; Poaceae
Description: long non-coding RNA (SBIC_LNC001785)
Source: RNAcentral